CAGUCGCCGCGGUAAUACGUAGGUGGCAAGCGUUGUCCGGAAUUAUUGGGCGUAAAGGGCUCGCAGGCGGUUUCUUAAGUCUGAUGUGAAAGCCCCCGGCUCGACCGGGGAGGGUCAUUGGGAAACUGGGAAACUUGAGUGCAGAAGAGGAGAGUGGAAUUCCACGUGUAGCGGUGAAAUGCGUAGAGAUGUGGAGGAACACCAGUGGCGAAGGCGACUCUCUGGUCUGUAACUGACGCUGAGGAGCGAAAGCGUGGGGAGCGAACAGGAUUAGAUACCCGGGUAGUCCCUGUCUCUUAUA
Molecule: ribosomal RNA, 301 nt
Filed under: uncultured bacterium
Lineage: Bacteria
Description: partial 16S ribosomal RNA
Rfam family: Bacterial small subunit ribosomal RNA
Source: RNAcentral